This 497-nucleotide ribosomal RNA is filed under the name uncultured bacterium. Its description in RNAcentral is "partial 16S ribosomal RNA". It matches the Rfam family "Bacterial small subunit ribosomal RNA", at positions 28 to 507 of the family's 1533-position model. The record is from RNAcentral.
GAUGAACGCUGGCGGCGUGCCUAAUACAUGCAAGUCGAGCGAACAGACGAGGAGCUUGCUCCUCUGACGUUAGCGGCGGACGGGUGAGUAACACGUGGAUAACCUACCUAUAAGACUGGGAUAAUUUCGGGAAACCGGAGCUAAUACCGGAUAAUAUAUUGAACCGCAUGGUUCAAUAGUGAAAGUCGGUUUUGCUGUCACUAAUAGAUGGAUCCGCGCCGCAUUAGCUAGUUGGUAAGGUAACGGCUUACCAAGGCAACGAUGCGUAGCCGACCUGAGAGGGUGGUCGGCCACACUGGAACUGAGACACGGUCCAGACUCCUGCGGGAGGCAGCAGUAGAGAAUCUUCCGCAAUGGGCGAGAGCUUGACGGAGCAACGCCGCGUGAGUGAUGAAGGUCUUCGGAUCGUAAAACUCUGUUAUUAGGGAAGAACAAAUGUGUAAGUAACUAUGCACGUCUUGACGGUACCUAAUCAGAAAGCCACGGCUAACUACGUG